GAUGACCCUCUGAGGAGAUAUCCGUGGCUAGGUUACUGCACGACUACAGCAUCACAGAGGAGACUCCAGAACUCAAACUACCAAGAGCACCCCUCCAUCAGCUUUGUUUCCUAACUCCUGGCCUGCCUCCUUUCUUGUGGCGCCAUCUCACAGCCAAAUGACAACAAGCCCUCUCUGUCCCUCACAAAAUGCCUGUGAUAAAAAGUUCCCUUUGCAGCCAGACCAGCUGAGACUGGUACAUAGAACCAAGACAGCUGACCAAAGGACUUCAAAAAGACCUCAGUCUUCAUGAUAAUCUUAUUUCCAUGCUAAAUGAUACUCCCUCCAGCACCACGACAGUUGACAAUUGCCAUGACAAUGACUGGAAGAAGCCGUAAAAGGACUAAAAGGGAGGCGGUACUACUGAUUCCAGGAGGUUCACCACCCACUUCUGGAAAAGACAUGAAUAUUCUUCCCUUUUCUUUUAAUGUCACCUCC
Long non-coding RNA from Homo sapiens (human), 477 nucleotides. RefSeq lists it as uncharacterized. The record is from RefSeq and is a predicted model, not a curated record. NCBI's taxonomy places the organism in Eukaryota, Metazoa, Chordata, Mammalia, Primates, Hominidae. The transcript has 3 exons.